This is a long non-coding RNA of Biomphalaria glabrata, 428 nucleotides long. RefSeq lists it as uncharacterized. The transcript is spliced from 3 exons. Lineage: Eukaryota; Metazoa; Mollusca; Gastropoda; Planorbidae. The record is from RefSeq and is a predicted model, not a curated record.
AUCAUUACAGGUUAUACUUCUUUUAGCCAGCUUUUUGCUGCAGAGCUGUCAGCUCUUUUGCAGACUGUGCCAAAGAAAAAUAGUGUGCUGUUCUCUUCAGUUGUUCAGCACUACCGUACAGGAGGGAAACAGCUGGCAGCAAAUGGUUUUCUAAAUGAGACAGCUGGUAACUCUCACCAAGAUCACUGGACACACAUUUGAGACGCAAAAAGAGAAGCAAAGCCAAAGAUAAACACAAACAAACAAACAAAAUUUUAACAGGCAGAAGCCAGACAACAUCUUGGUCAGAUCAGAUGUGGCAAAAUAUAGACAACACAUCAAGCAAAUUGUGGGGAUCAGACUAAUUAACAAUGAAUGAAUAUGGUGUGCAAUACAUAUUUCUGAAAAUGAAGUUAGACUGGUAAUAACUCACACUGUGCCCCCAUAGA